Molecule: ribosomal RNA, 399 nt
Filed under: uncultured bacterium
Lineage: Bacteria
Description: bacterial SSU rRNA
Rfam family: Bacterial small subunit ribosomal RNA
Source: RNAcentral
CCGCGGUAAUACGGAGGAUCCCAGCGUUAUCCGGAAUCAUUGGGUUUAAAGGGUCCGUAGGCGGGCCUGUAAGUCAGUGGUGAAAUCCGGCGGCUUAACCGUCGAACUGCCAUUGAUACUGCAGGUCUUGAAUUAUUGGGAAGUAACUAGAAUAUGUAGUGUAGCGGUGGAAUGCUUAGAUAUUACAUGGAAUACCGAUUGCGAAGGCAGGUUACUAUCAAUACAUUGACGCUGAUGGACGAAAGCGUGGGGAGCGAACAGGAUUAGAUACCCUGGUAGUCCACGCCGUAAACGAUGGAUACUAGCUGACGGGGCGCAAGCCUCGGUGGCUAAGCGAAAGUGAUAAGUAUCCCACCUGGGGAGUACGAACGCAAGUUUGAAACUCAAAGGAAUUGACGG